UACGUAGGGGGCAAGCGUUGUCCGGAUUUAUUGGGCGUAAAGAGCGUGUAGGCGGCCUGGAAGGUCAGCUGUGAAAACUCGAGGCUUAACCUCGAGACGUCGGUGGAAACUGCCUGGCUAGAGUCCGGAAGAGGAGAGUGGAAUUCCAGGUGUAGCGGUGAAAUGCGUAGAUAUCUGGAGGAACACCGGUGGCGAAGGCGGCAUCCUGGACCGACACUGACGCUGAGGAGCGAAAGCCAGGGGAGCAAACGGG
Molecule: ribosomal RNA, 253 nt
Filed under: uncultured bacterium
Lineage: Bacteria
Description: partial 16S ribosomal RNA
Rfam family: Bacterial small subunit ribosomal RNA
Source: RNAcentral